This 195-nucleotide ribosomal RNA is filed under the name uncultured Banisveld landfill bacterium BVB17. Its description in RNAcentral is "partial 16S ribosomal RNA". It matches the Rfam family "Bacterial small subunit ribosomal RNA", at positions 338 to 524 of the family's 1533-position model. The record is from RNAcentral.
CCUACGGGAGGCAGCAGUGGGGAAUUUUGCGCAAUGGGCGAAAGCCUGACGCAGCAACGCCGCGUGAGUGAUGAAGGCUUUCGGGUCGUAAAGCUCUGUCGAGGGGAAAGAAGUGUAUUGUGGUUAAUACCCGCGAUACUUGACGGUACCCCUAAAGGAAGCACCGGCUAACUCCGUGCCAGCAGCCGCGGUAAU